This is a long non-coding RNA of Monodelphis domestica (gray short-tailed opossum), 543 nucleotides long. Lineage: Eukaryota; Metazoa; Chordata; Mammalia; Didelphimorphia; Didelphidae. The record is from Ensembl.
GUCCAAAACAGGUGUUCUGACUGGAGGACAAGCUACCAAUUAACUAGGAACAAUUUAGUGCAAAGAGAUGGAAAACAAAUAGAAUGCAGAUAAAAAAGGUCACACAGAAGCUAAAUUAUCUGUUGGUUCAUUCUUAUCCCAGGCCAAUUAUUCCAAUUGUGUUGAGAGCCAUAUAAAUCAAGUCUAACUAUCCCAAGUCUUCUAAGAAGCUAUCCUUUAGUUGGAGUCCAACUGAGUAGGACUAGAAAAAUAUCGAGGAGUCCAGUAUUGUAUUCUGGGAAGAAUUAUCAUGACUUACAUUUCCAAAAAAUUUUAUGGCUUGCAUAUUUAAGUCCUGUAAGAUUUAUUAUGCUCAUUCUGAAGAUGAAAAAGCUGAGACUCAGAGGGGAUGAAGUGAUUGUCUGUCAGCUCAGUGUUUAAGAGUCUAAUUUUAGACAACUCUUGCAAAAUCAACAAAUCUGCAAAUAUUUAUUGAAGACCUGUUGUGUGCCCAGCAUUCUCUUUUCAAAUAAAAACAUUUUAAUUAGUCCUGAAUUAUCUUGC